Non-coding RNA from Malus domestica (apple), 952 nucleotides. NCBI's taxonomy places the organism in Eukaryota, Viridiplantae, Streptophyta, Magnoliopsida, Rosales, Rosaceae. The record is from RefSeq and is a predicted model, not a curated record.
AACGUUGGUGGAAAAACACUGUUCAUUAACAGUGCCGUUCCUGUUUUGUCCCUCAUCUAACGCACGGUUUUCAGCCUUUUAAAAGAUGCUACAGAAAUUGUCGAUUUUGCCCCUCUGUGCAAUGAGCCUACAUACGGAAAGGUGCUCGAACCUUCUCUCAUUUUCUUCCGUUGCUUUUUCCUUUCGCCUGCUCUCUGUUUUUCUGCUUUUCUCCCUGUUCGAUCUUCGUGUUUCCUUGCUUCUCUGUUUGUGUUCAUCGUCUGCCGUCUGAAAAGGUGGUUUUUCUGACUGAUCGCGGUGUUUCAGGCUAUGUUGGAGCAAAAACUGUGCAGGCAAAGACAUAAGAGUGAUGGAUUUUGGAAUGAAAUGCAGAGGAUAUCCUUUUGCGCCGCUUAAAGAAGAGCUCAACAUGGGGGUGCAAGAGAGCUAUUGGUACAGUAAAGAAAGGAAAAGUUGUACGCCACUACAGCACUACGCUGGGUGCUAGCCAACAUGAUAACAAUAACAAUAUAAAAAUGAUUAAGAUAGUGAAGGAAUGGUGAGGAUUGGAAGGCAGAUGAGUGUACAAGUGAGAGGAAGAUUGAAGAAGAAAGCAGUAAAAUGCAGUUGGGCCCUUAAUGCACUCCUAAAGAAUAGAUUGAGAAGUUUAAGGAUGUUGAGAGUUUGAGAAAUGCUGGAGAUUAAUUUCAAUUUGAAAAAAUCUCUGCUGCAUCUCGGUUCCUACAGUAAUUUCAGCUGCUGAAGUAGCUUUCAGCUGUCAAGGUUACUAGCAAUUGAGUGUGUUUGUGUAAGUGCUUUUUGCUUUUGUAAAAUUGUGUGAAAGAUUAUAUUUCUUCCUUUUGUUUGAUAAUUGUCUGGUUGCUGUCAAUACUAUGGCUUUAAAUUGUAUAUGGAAUCAUUAUUUUCACAUAUUUCUUUGCUUAAGUUAUAAUCUAGAGCUACUUUUACGUUA